AUACGGAAGGGACUAGCGUUGUUCGGAAUUACUGGGCGUAAAGAGUUCGUAGGCGGACUGAUAAGUAAGAGGUGAAAUCCCAGGGCUCAACCCUGGAACUGCCCUUUAAACUGUCAGUCUAGAGACCGGAAGAGGUUAGGGGAAUACCUAGUGUAGAGGUGAAAUUCGUAGAUAUUAGGUGGAACACCAGUGGCGAAGGCGCCUAACUGGUCCGGUACUGACGCUGAGGAACGAAAGCGUGGGGAGCAAACAGGAUUAGAAACCCGAGUAGUCC
This 274-nucleotide ribosomal RNA is filed under the name uncultured bacterium. RNAcentral's name for it is "partial 16S ribosomal RNA". It matches the Rfam family "Bacterial small subunit ribosomal RNA", at positions 523 to 796 of the family's 1533-position model. The record is from RNAcentral.